This is a long non-coding RNA of Cyprinus carpio carpio, 351 nucleotides long. The record is from Ensembl. Lineage: Eukaryota; Metazoa; Chordata; Actinopteri; Cypriniformes; Cyprinidae.
CACUCCAGCUCAGCCAGCAUCUUCUUGGCUGUAGUCUUGUGCGUGCUUAUCGGGGUGGAGUACCUGUGCUCACAGCAGUCCUGGGAGUUCAGGGAGAACUUUGGGCGGGACCCAGAUGUCCCAGACAGAAUCCCAGUGGAUUAGGGAGAUAUAGAAGAUAAGGGAUUUGGGGAUGAGGCAGAGGAGCAGGACCACACCAUCUCCCCUCUUUCUUUAGUCUCAACAAAGGAAGCUAUAUGCUUGUCUCGGGAUUCACCGUCACCCUCUCAUUCCUCACAGGACUUGCCACCUGAGCCCCAGGAAGAUGUGUGCAGAGGACCAGACGGGACUCCAGGAUUUGACAGAAUGGUG